AUUUGCAGUCACAAGAGGAGGCUCUUUGAGAGGAUCCACUGUGCUGACAAAAAUAUCAAUCGGAGCUAACUGUGAAGGUUCUCCUUCCCUGUCAAAUCUCAAUGCAAGCCUAUCAAGAUAGGUUUCACGGUUCAUAGGGUACCAUUUUGGGAACUGGUCAAGAAGCCAUGACAAAGCGAACCAAAUCUCACAUAUGACAGACGUUAACCACAAAGGAUAGGCAUUUGGUACCGGAUGAGUGGUUCGGUACUGAAAGAAGAACCCGAGGAUAAUAAGUCGCAGAAUAAUAACCACUCGGUAAAGGUUAAGUUGGUUAGAAGGGAUAGGCACUAUACGACUCAUCGGCAAACGAGCAUCAUCAACCAUUUGCAUCUCUUCACCAUUGGAACCAGUUCCUUCCAAGCUGUCUCCUUUUCCAUCGGUGUAUUUGCUGGUCAUUUGCAUCAUAUUUUUGUCUUGUUUGAGUUUCCAGCCUUCA
RNAcentral lists this unclassified non-coding RNA (478 nucleotides) under Hevea brasiliensis (rubber tree). Lineage: Eukaryota; Viridiplantae; Streptophyta; Magnoliopsida; Malpighiales; Euphorbiaceae. The record is from RNAcentral.